This 492-nucleotide long non-coding RNA is filed under the name Malus domestica (apple). RNAcentral describes it as "long non-coding RNA (MDOM_LNC006396)". The record is from RNAcentral. Lineage: Eukaryota; Viridiplantae; Streptophyta; Magnoliopsida; Rosales; Rosaceae.
AUUAUCAUAUGUAUUCAGACUUGCACAAAGGUUUGCUUGAAUUUAUGAUGAACAUAUUAAUACUUCAUUAUAGAACAUAAAACUCUGAAGUUGGUCCCAAAUUAUAUGUUAAAAAUGCUUCUACUCCGCAAGGAGUUUGCAGCUCAGUUUUAGUUAAAACACAUUCAUCCUCACACCUUGAGGUGCCAAGUUCGAUGCCGAUCCCUCCUCCCCCAAUAGCAGAUGGGUAAAACCCGCGGAGCAUUAACGUGCAUUACUUGAGCAUGCUACAUUUGCACCUUCCUAUAUCUGAUAAAUUAAAUCCGCAAGCAGCAAAAUAAACAAGGUCCAAAACACCAUCCAUAGCAAAGCCAAGUAAGGACAUCACGGCCAUCACGAACGGCUGGGAUUAUUACACACAAUCGUUCCUGGCAUAUGAAAAUGCCCACAACAGCUUCCAACCAUCUAUCACACGAGACCUAACACAACACAGAUCAACUUAAACAGAAGCAG